This 385-nucleotide ribosomal RNA is filed under the name uncultured bacterium. RNAcentral's name for it is "bacterial SSU rRNA". It matches the Rfam family "Bacterial small subunit ribosomal RNA", at positions 29 to 417 of the family's 1533-position model. The record is from RNAcentral.
AUUGAACGCUGGCGGCAUGCCUUACACAUGCAAGUCGAGCGGCAGCGCGGGGCAACCUGGCGGCGAGCGGCGAACGGGUGAGUAAUACAUCGGAACGUACCCAGUUGUGGGGGAUAGCCCGGCGAAAGCCGGAUUAAUACCGCAUACGACCUGAGGGUGAAAGGGGGGGAUCGCAAGACCUCUCGCAGUUGGAGCGGCCGAUGGCGGAUUAGCUAGUUGGUGAGGUAAAGGCUCACCAAGGCGACGAUCCGUAGCUGGUCUGAGAGGAUGAUCCGCCACACUGGGACUGAGACACGGCCCAGACUCCUACGGGAGGCAGCAGUGGGGAAUUUUGGACAAUGGGCGAAAGCCUGAUCCAGCCAUGCCGCGUGAGUGAAGAAGGCCU